This 322-nucleotide RNase P RNA is filed under the name candidate division SR1 bacterium. RNAcentral describes it as "RNase P RNA component class A". It matches the Rfam family "Bacterial RNase P class A". From Rfam's summary of the family: Ribonuclease P (RNase P) is a ubiquitous endoribonuclease, found in archaea, bacteria and eukarya as well as chloroplasts and mitochondria. Its best characterised activity is the generation of mature 5'-ends of tRNAs by cleaving the 5'-leader elements of precursor-tRNAs. Cellular RNase Ps are ribonucleoproteins. Lineage: Bacteria; Candidatus Absconditibacteriota. The record is from RNAcentral.
GCGUCAGUCUAGAUACUACGCCACUUGUGGUGAGGAAAGUCCUGGCACGAAAAACUGGCUAUCAUCUAACGGAUGUUGGAACUCUGCGUUAUGCAGGCAAACGAAAGUGCCACAGAGAUUAAACUAUCCCAUUAGGGAGAAAGGUGAAACAGUAGGGUAGUGAAACUUACCUACACUCAAUCGGUCCGAUGGGCUGAUGAGCGGUAAACCGUAGCUCGUGCAAGCUUAUCAAGCUCGACUUGAAAGUGCAAAUGAUCGCUAUAAGUGAUCUUAGAUAAAUAGUAUCUCAAUACAGAACCAGGCUUAUUGGAUUGACAAAAUA